GGCAGAUGUGGAGGGAAUGCCACAAGUUGCCUGGCGGGUGGAGCCAGGACCACGCCCUGAACACCAGAAACAGAAGAGUGGGCCAGGAAGGGGAAGUAUAAAAGGCCAGCCCAGCAGCUCAGCUGGGACAGAGGUGCUGAGAGAGACAGACAUGUCGUCCCUACUGCUGGAGUGGGAUACUGAGGAGAACCGCAGCUGCCCUUAGAACCCUGCCACUCUCCACGCUGAGGAACUGCUAUUGCUACCCUUGGUGGUAUAUCCCAGGGAAACGAAGAAUGAUCCCUGGAUGCAGUCUCUGUUUGGAGUGAUAACUCUCAUUCAGGGAUAGCCAGUAAGUGGCACUAGUGGGGACAGCAGUGUUGGAAUUAACAAUGGCAUUGGAAGCAGCAUUCAGCUCAGACCUGACAGUUUUGCACAGUCAGGGGCACUCAUUUCAUGCUCAGGCACCCAUUCAAGCUUUCCUGAAUUCAGUUGCCUUCCUCAACGUGUGUGUACUUCUGUGAAAAUAGAAGCCCAACAAUCCUGAGGAGAUGGACUGCAGCCAUUCUGGAAGCAUCAUGCAUCUCAACCCUUUAAGUAAUACUGGAUACAUAAUUCUGAAAGUGGAUUUUGUCUCACCUGCCCUGGUAGAUCUUGAGGAUAUAAAACAGCAGCUCCUGAAUGAGGUAGAAGAAAUACUAAAGGGGAGUUUUCCCAUAGGGUCAUUCCAGCUGAAAUGAGUCAGCUAUGAACUGUGACAAGACCAGACCAAACGACCCAGCACUAACAUGAAGUUCUCUAAAGAAGGAAAAAAAUGCUCCUUUUGGUACAAAUAAUUUUGGACAGUGGAACCAGAAUGUGUAUGGGCAGAUCAUAGAUAAAAAAUAAAGUUAACAUUUCAGGCAGGGAGACAGGGAUGUAGAAUAAGUGUAGCUAACUGCUGAGGAAAGGUACAAGGAAAUUAGAUAGUGUCUCUUGUGGAGGAAAUGGAAGAGGGAAUUCUCAACCAGUGCAUCACCAGACCGUUGUUUGUUUUUGCCCCAGUGCCCAGAAUCCCCAUUCAGGAUUAGGCCCCCUUGUGUUGGGCAAUGUAGAGGUAUAUUAAGGCAGGCCCAAGCCCAGAGAGCUUCCAGUCUAAAUAAGGACAAGACAACAACAGGUAAACGUAGAACAGAACAGAGAUGGUAGGGUCAAGGUGGUGACAAGAAAUAGAAGAACAAAGUUGCAUACAUUCACUGUGUGUAUAGUUUGAAAGCCUUUAAAACCCUGUAUAUAAAAUGACAAUUUUAAAAAUAAGCUUUUACC
Long non-coding RNA from Dermochelys coriacea (leatherback sea turtle), 1284 nucleotides. RefSeq lists it as uncharacterized. Lineage: Eukaryota; Metazoa; Chordata; Testudines; Dermochelyidae. The transcript is spliced from 4 exons. The record is from RefSeq and is a predicted model, not a curated record.